GACGAACGCUGGCGGCGUGCUUAACACAUGCAAGUCGAACGUGAUUUUUGUGGAAAUUCUUUCGGGAAUGGAAGCGAAAUGAAAGUGGCGAACGGGUGAGUAACACGUGAGCAACCUACCUUACACAGGGGGAUAGCCGUUGGAAACGACGAUUAAUACCGCAUGAGACCACAGAAUCGCAUGAUAUAGGGGUCAAAGAUUUAUCGGUGUAAGAAGGGCUCGCGUCUGAUUAGCUAGUUGGAAGGGUAAAGGCCUACCAAGGCGACGAUCAGUAGCCGGUCUGAGAGGAUGAACGGCCACAUUGGAACUGAGACACGGUCCAAACUCCUACGGGAGGCAGCAGUGGGGAAUAUUGCACAAUGGGGGGAACCCUGAUGCAGCGACGCCGCGUGAGCGAAGAAGGUUUUCGAAUCGUAAAGCUCUGUCCUAUGAGAAGAUAAUGACG
This 445-nucleotide ribosomal RNA is filed under the name Parvimonas micra. RNAcentral's name for it is "bacterial SSU rRNA". It matches the Rfam family "Bacterial small subunit ribosomal RNA", at positions 28 to 456 of the family's 1533-position model. The record is from RNAcentral. Lineage: Bacteria; Bacillati; Bacillota; Tissierellia; Tissierellales; Peptoniphilaceae.